GUGGAAGAGGACAGAGUUAGUUUCCUGGGAUUUGGAAGGUGUGGUGAGCGCGAUGGCUUUUCACCCUAGCGCGGAUGAGACGCUGUCGAUACGGCAUGGAUUCAGGUGUGUUCCUGAGAAUGGAGUUAAAGUGGAGGAAGUUAGUCAGUGAACAGGUAGGAGCUGAAUUUAUACAUUCCGCUUCCAGAAUGAACAAAGCUGUGGUUGUGUUCAUGAAAAGAGCAAAUUUGGUUGGUAGGCUAAUUGCUAGUGGAAUAUUUGUAAGGGAUGUGUUGGUGCCAGUUUCACCUCUCUCUACCCCUUCGACAAGGGUGGUAGUUGCAAAUUUGCCUCCGUUUAUUACGGAUGAUCAAAUCAGGAAAGAGCUGAGUGGUUUUGGUAAGUUUGCUAGUGGGUUUCGUGUACUGUCGGCAGGUUUUCAGACAGAUGCCGUUAAGCACGUUGUUUCAUUCUGGAGGCAAGUGUUUAUGUUUCUGAACAACAAUGAGCAACAGCUAAAUGUGCAUUUUAAAGUGAGGCAUGGGGAGGGGCUCUAUGCAGGGUUUGCCAGCACAGAUAGUCUACGGUGUUUUGAGUGUGGGGAUUUGGGGCAUAAGAGCUUUGUGUGCCCACAUAAAGGGCAUAGACAAGGUGAGGGUACAAGCGCCCCCGGUGGGGGAAAUCGAGGUCAACGUGAAGGGGACAAUGAGACGCAGGUAGCAGAGGCUGGGCAUAGUCAUGCCAGUGAUGGUGGUGUAGAUGAGUCUGGGCCUAGUCAUGCCAUGGAUGGUGGUGUAGAUGAGGCUGGGUCUAGUCAUGCUAUGGAUGGCGGUGUAGAUGAGGCUGGGUCUAGUCAGGUGAUGGAUGGUGGUGUAGAUGAGGCUGGGUCUAGUCAUGCUACAGAUGGCGGUGUAGAUGAGGCUGGGUCUAGUCAGGCUAUAGAUGGUGGUGUAGAUGAGGCUGGGUCUAGUCAGGCUAGAGAUGGUGGUGUAGAUGAGGCUGGGUCUAGUCAGGUUAUAGAUGGUGGUGUAGAUGAUGCUGGGUCUAGUCAUGCCAUGGAUGGUGGUGUAGAUGAGGCUGGGUCUAGUCAGGUUAUGGAUGGUGGUGUAGAUGAGGCUGGGUCUAGUCAGGCUAGAGAUGGUGGUGUAGAUGAGGCUGGGUCUAGUCAGGUUAUGGAUGGUGGUGUAGAUGAGGCUGGGUCUAGUCAUGCUACAGAUGGUGGUGUAGAUUAGGCUGGGUCUAGUCAUGCCAUGGAUGGUGGUGUAGAUGAGGCUGGGUCUAGUCAUGCUACAGAUGGUGGUGUAGAUGAGGCUGGGUCUAGUCAUGCUAGAGAUGGUGGUGUAGAUGAGGCUGGGUUUAGUCAUGUUAUAGAUGGUGGUGUAGAUGAGGCUGGGUCUAGUCAGGUUAUAGAUGGUGGUGUAGAUGAUGCUGGGUCUAGUCAUGCUAGAGAUGGUGGUAUAGAUGAGGCUGGGUCUAGUCAGGUUAUAGAUGGUGGUGUAGAUGAGGCUGGGUCUAGUCAUGCUAGAGAUGGUGGUGUAGAUGAGGCUGGGUUUAGUCAUGUUAUAGAUGGUGGUGUAGAUGAGGCUGGGUCUAGUCAGGUUAUAGAUGGUGGUGUAGAUGAUGCUGGGUCUAGUCAUGCCAUGGAUGGUAGUGUAGAUGACGCUGGGUCUAGUCAGGUUAUAGAUGGUGGUGUAGAUGAUGCUGGGUCUAGUCAUGCCAUGGAUGGUAGUGUAGAUGAGGCUGGGUCUAGUCAGGUUAUAGAUGGUGGUGUAGAUGAUGCUGGGUCUAGUCAUGCCAUGGAUGGUAGUGUAGAUGAGGCUGGGUCUAGUCAGGUUAUAGAUGGUGGUGUAGAUGAGGCUGGGUCUAGUCAGGUUAUAGAUGGUGGUGUAGAUGAGGCUGGGUCUAGUCAGGUUAUGGAUGGUGGUGUAGAUGAGGCUGGGUCUAGUCAGGUUAUGGAUGGUAGUGUAGAUGAGGCUGGGUCUAGUCAGGUUAUGGAUGGUAGUGUAGAUGAGGCUGGGUCUAGUCAGGUUAUGGAUGGUGGUGUAGAUGAGACUGGGUCUAGUCAGGUUAUGGAUGGUGGUGUAGAUGAGGCUGGGUCUAGUCAGGUUAUGGAUGUAGUGUAGAUGAGGCUGGGUCUAGUCAGGUUAUAGAUGGUGGUGUAGAUGAUGCUGGGUCUAGUCAGGUUAUGCUAGUGGAUGAGGAGAGUAUAGUGGGGAAGUGUAAGAAACUAGGGGGGAGGAGGAGGGUGUCAAGAGAAAAAGGGUGUGGUCAAAGGCACCAUGGAACCUUUGCCUGGUGCUGGGGGAGGCCCUGACUAGAGAGGAAGGGCAGGUGGUCAGGAUUGGAGAUGGAGAUGAGGAGGAGGAAAGUGAGUCUGAGGAAGAGGAUGAUGAGGAGGCCUUUUCUUCAGACUCCUCUUCAAUGGGUCCGGAGCUGACAGCCAGUCAAGCAGAGGGGUCAAAGUAUACGGUGAGAGAACUGACAAGGUUCCUGAAUGAGACCAAGGUGGAAAAAGUUAAUCUUGAGGAUUUUUUUUCUGAUCCGAGAAAGUUUGUAAGAUCAGUACAACAUGCUAUGACAAAUGAGGGGCAUGGUGUCCUCUCACCCAGGAAACGGUUUAG
Molecule: long non-coding RNA, 2600 nt
Filed under: Salmo salar (Atlantic salmon)
Lineage: Eukaryota; Metazoa; Chordata; Actinopteri; Salmoniformes; Salmonidae
Description: lncRNA (ENSSSAG00000111930.1)
Source: RNAcentral